This is a non-coding RNA of Cricetulus griseus (Chinese hamster), 1224 nucleotides long. The record is from RefSeq and is a predicted model, not a curated record. NCBI's taxonomy places the organism in Eukaryota, Metazoa, Chordata, Mammalia, Rodentia, Cricetidae.
GUCUAUCAAAUUUAUGAACUGACGUUAGCGUCCCGGAAGUUCGGCCCCGGAAAGGGCGGGCUUUGCAAAGAUGGCGGCUCCGGAGGUGCCGGAGUCAGACGUGUCAAGUUCGAUAACACUUUUGAAAAACCUCCAGGAGCAGGUGAUGGCUGUAACUGCACAAGUACAAGCCCUGACAAAAAAAGUUCAAGCUGGUACAUACUCUACAGAGAAGGGUCUGAGCUUCUUGGAAGUAAAGGACCAACUGUUGCUCAUGUACCUUAUGGAUCUGAGCCACCUCAUCCUGGACAAAGCCUCGGGAGGAUCUCUGCAGGGACACCCUGCAGUUUGGAGGCUGGUGGAACUCCGAACGGUUUUAGAAAAACUCCGUCCCUUGGACCAAAAACUGAAAUAUCAAAUUGACAAACUGGUCAAGACUGCAGUGACGGGCAGCCUCAGUGAAAAUGACCCACUUCGUUUUAAGCCCCAUCCCAGCAACAUGAUAAGCAAGUUGAACUCUGAGGAUGAAGAGGAAGACGAAGCAGAGGAGGACCAGUCUGAGGCUGCAGGGAAGAAAUCUGUAAAAGGAACAUCUAAGAAAUACGUCCCACCACGCUUGGUUCCAGUGCAUUAUGACGAAACAGAAGCAGAACGCGAGCAAAAACGCCUGGACCGGGCCAAGAAACGAGCACUGAGCAGCUCUGUCAUUCGUGAGCUUAAGGAGCAAUACUCAGAUGCCCCGGAGGAAAUCCGCGAUUCCCGGCACCCUCAUGUCACUCGCCAGAGUCAGGAGGAUCAGCAUAGGAUUAACUAUGAAGAGAGCAUGAUGGUGCGUUUAAGUGUUAGCAAACGAGAGAAAGGACGGCGAAAGCGAGCAAGUGUUAUGAGCUCGCAGCUUAAUUCCCUCACACACUUCAGCGACAUCAGUGCUUUGACAGGAGGAGCUGCUCAUCUUGAUGAGGACCAGAAUCCUAUUAAAAAGCGGAAGAAGAUACCUAAGAAAGGCCGGAAGAAGAAAGGUCAGUGAGCUGCUGGGAGUUAGUACCUGGAUGGACAGUCUGAGUUGGAAUAUCACCUCUCAGGAAUUGCCAUUUCAGGUUUUCGGAGGCGUCGGUGACAUGCUUAUUCACUUUGUCACCCUGGGGUGCUUCUGGCUUCACUGUAUGCAAGUGUUUUCCUUGGGCCCUGCUGACCUUGGACAUGUGGGGAGAUCUUUACUAAAUAAAAUUUCCUUUGCUUUUCAUA